Molecule: ribosomal RNA, 497 nt
Filed under: uncultured bacterium
Lineage: Bacteria
Description: partial 16S ribosomal RNA
Rfam family: Bacterial small subunit ribosomal RNA
Source: RNAcentral
GAUGAACGCUGGCGGCGUGCCUAAUACAUGCAAGUCGAGCGAACAGAUGAGGAGCUUGCUCCUCUGACGUUAGCGGCGGACGGGUGAGUAACACGUGGAUAACCUACCUAUAAGACUGGGAUAACUUCGGGAAACCGGAGCUCAUACCGGAUAAUAUAUUGAACCGCAUGGUUCAAUAGUGAAAGACGGUUUUGCUGUCACUUAUAGAUGGAUCCGCGCCGCAUUAGCUAGUUGGUAAGGUAACGGCUUACCAAGGCAACGAUGCGUAGCCGACCUGAGAGGGUGAUCGGCCACACUGGAACUGAGACACGGUCCAGACUCCUACGGGAGGCAGCAGUAGGGAAUCUUCCGCAAAGGGCGAAAGCCUGACGGAGCAACGCCGCGUGAGUGAUGAAGGUCUUCGGAUCGUAAAACUCUGUUAUUAGGGAAGAACAAAUGUGUAAGUAACUAUGCACGUCUUGACGGUACCUAAUCAGAAAGCCACGGCUAACUACGUG